ACAGAGUAAACUGGGCAGAGUUUCCAUUAGGAGCUUGCCUUGCUCUGUCUAUGACCAGCAGUCUAAGGAACGGCUGAGUUAGCAUAUAGGCAGGAAGGCAGUUUCACAGAUAACACUAAUUUGCUCGAUUACCAGUGUCUCCCAGAUAAUACUUACCUGAACAUUCUCAGGAUGAAUGAGCAGGACUCAGGGACUGAAUGGCUGUGCUACUUGAAAGAGAAGAGAUGCUUUCCUGUUUUGCCUUCUCAACACCCCAGCCACCUUUUCAGACAUAGAAAGUCCUACCCAGCAGUGUGACCUCCUAAGGACUUAACCAGACUUCUCCAGGGAGGCUUAAUUCUUCCAUGAGGAGGCUGACACGUUCUGAAGAUGCCCCCAAAUCAGACAAGGGAGUGGACCAAGCCUCAUUUCCAAGCACUGGAAACUUUUACCACCCGCCACUCUGAAAUAUGUGGAACCAGGAGUCAUCAGAAGGCACUUGUAGCAGCGUUGGAUUAGGUGGCUUCUGAGGCUGCCCAAAUGGCGGGUGGCUUCUGCCUAGCCAAGGUACCCUGCACACUCCUCUCCACUGUAUUCACCCCUUCCUUACGAUGAUGGACUCUGUGAUCUGUGUGCAGGGGCUUCACCUAGGAAACAGCACAUUGAAUGCUUAUG
Fukomys damarensis (Damara mole-rat) is the source of this 654-nucleotide long non-coding RNA. RefSeq lists it as uncharacterized. The transcript has 3 exons. NCBI's taxonomy places the organism in Eukaryota, Metazoa, Chordata, Mammalia, Rodentia, Bathyergidae. The record is from RefSeq and is a predicted model, not a curated record.